This 82-nucleotide transfer RNA is filed under the name Acidobacteriota bacterium. RNAcentral describes it as "Acidobacteria bacterium (marine metagenome) tRNA-Gly". The stretch from base 7 to 67 matches the Rfam family "tRNA", at positions 7 to 64 of the family's 71-position model. Rfam says of the family: Transfer RNA (tRNA) molecules are approximately 80 nucleotides in length. Their secondary structure includes four short double-helical elements and three loops (D, anti-codon, and T loops). The record is from RNAcentral. Lineage: Bacteria; Pseudomonadati; Acidobacteriota.
GCGGGAAUAGCUCAGUUGGCUAGAGCAUCAGCCUUCCAAGCUGAGGGUCGCGGGUUCGAGUCNNGUUCAAAUCCCUUCGCCA